GCCUGGGUGGCUUAGUCAGUUAAAGCACCUCAUUGGUAAUGAGGAGAGCGGCGGUGCAAAUCCGCCCCCAGGCUCCA
Molecule: transfer RNA, 77 nt
Filed under: Patescibacteria group bacterium
Lineage: Bacteria
Description: tRNA-Thr
Rfam family: tRNA
About the family: Transfer RNA (tRNA) molecules are approximately 80 nucleotides in length.
Source: RNAcentral